Molecule: ribosomal RNA, 253 nt
Filed under: uncultured bacterium
Lineage: Bacteria
Description: partial 16S ribosomal RNA
Rfam family: Bacterial small subunit ribosomal RNA
Source: RNAcentral
UACGAAGGGGGCUAGCGUUGCUCGGAAUCACUGGGCGUAAAGCGCACGUAGGCGGAUUGCUAAGUCAGGGGUGAAAUCCUGGAGCUCAACUCCAGAACUGCCUUUGAUACUGGCGACCUUGAGUCCGGGAGAGGUGAGUGGAACUGCGAGUGUAGAGGUGAAAUUCGUAGAUAUUCGGAAGAACACCAGUGGCGAAGGCGACUCACUGGACACGUAUUGACGCUGAGGUGCGAAAGCGUGGGGAGCAAACAGG